UACGUAGGGUGCAAGCGUUAAUCGGAAUUACUGGGCGUAAAGCGUGCGCAGGCGGUUGUGCAAGACAGAUGUGAAAUCCCGGCGUACUGGAUGCAUUGUGACUGCACGGCUAGAGUGUGUCAGAGGGGGUAGGAAUUCCACGUGUAGCAGUGAAAUGCGUAGAGAUGUGGAGGAAUACCGAUGGCGAAGGCAGCCCCCUCGGGAGUAACACUGACGCUCAUGCACGAAAGCGUGGGGAGCAAACAGGAUUAGAAACCC
Molecule: ribosomal RNA, 258 nt
Filed under: uncultured bacterium
Lineage: Bacteria
Description: partial 16S ribosomal RNA
Rfam family: Bacterial small subunit ribosomal RNA
Source: RNAcentral